Phascolarctos cinereus (koala) is the source of this 1398-nucleotide long non-coding RNA. RefSeq lists it as uncharacterized. Lineage: Eukaryota; Metazoa; Chordata; Mammalia; Diprotodontia; Phascolarctidae. The record is from RefSeq and is a predicted model, not a curated record.
GAACUCCAAGGUGGGAAGAAUAAGUAAGUGGAGUAGUAAUAUCCUGGCGUUGCCAAGACACUGGCUGGAGGCUGCGUGGCCCUAGACCCCGACUCAAGCUCGGGUUUCUCCUCCCACCGGGAUGUGGCCUGCCUGCCUCCUACCCAGCUCCUCCACCUGUUUCCCGGAGCCGACGUUGAACAGGUUUAAAAGGAAAGAGAGACGUGCUUACCCGAGGACAGGGAUCUGAUUAGGUGCAGGGAGUAUAAUCUCUGAUCACAGGGCAUUUAGCCAUGAGAAUCUAGGAGUCGGAAUCCAAGUCAGAUUUUUAUAGUCAACAUAACAUCAACGUCAAAGAAGCGAGAAGUGAUCUUCAGGACUGACCUUUAGAAGCCCAGCCCAGCAUAAGUGCUCACCUGUCAUUAAUACCAUAUCUGGGCAUGAAUUUGGGAAACAAACACAUAAUAGAUUUAACAUGCAGAGCAACAUCUGUGAAGAAGUUAUUGAUGGAAAGGAAUUUAGCACGUAGGAAUAUGAUACUGCUCUUUUCUGACAUCCAAAGGACAAGACCAUCUAGAGAAGCCAAAAUCCAACUGUUUAUCAAAUAACCCUGGUUUUUUUCCUUCUUCCCACAUUGAAAAAGCAAGAGAAAAGGAUAACUUCUUGAUAGAACAGUGACAAAUGGCCAGUGGGAGUACAGUUCCCCAAAUCACUUUCUGGGGCUUCCUAUCACAUUCCGCUCAGGGGGAGAAGGCACAUCAAGCCCCCAUACCCUCUUGGGACAAGGCCUAUGCCACUCUGGGUGAAGGGAUUAUGCUUCUCUGAAUCAUAUUCAGUCUAGGGAGAAGUAUAGCAUAGCCCUAGAGUGGUCGGUCACAGCAUGAGUGAGGGACAAGGAGGCAGACCACUAGAGCACAAGCUACUCCCCACUAUAAGCAGAUUUGCCCCUAGAAGACAGUUAUUAGUUAGUCAUAGCUCUGAAAACAGUGAAUCCUUGACUAUGUGCUAGAAGACUUUUUCUUUGAAAAAAUGUGUUUUAUUGAUUUUUUUGUUUGUUUUCAUACUAGUCAUUUCUGGAUGUACUAACCUAUUUACGUCAUAGGAUAUGAACUAUCCCUUGUAACUAACUCCUUCCAAAAUAAACAAAAUUAGUUAAGCAAAAACAAUUGACAAAAUGACCAUAAAAGCAAUAUAUUUUACCUUUGUAAACCCUUACCGCACUGCCACAAGGGUAAGAUUGUCAUUGACUGAGACCUUCCCCCCCAUUUUCAGUUACUCAGAAUUCAAUCUCCUUUUACUGGUAUUUUCAUUUCCAUUGUUGCAGUCACUGUGUAUGUUCUUCUGGCUCUCCUCAUUUUAAUCAAUGUUAUUUGAUGUAAAUUUUUUUCUAUAUUUCUCUGAAUUCCUUAUAUUUAUCAU